RNAcentral lists this transfer RNA (65 nucleotides) under Chrysomela populi. RNAcentral's name for it is "tRNA-Thr". The record is from RNAcentral. Lineage: Eukaryota; Metazoa; Arthropoda; Insecta; Coleoptera; Chrysomelidae.
GUUUUAAUAAUUUAACUAAAAUAUUGAUUUUGUAAAUCAAAUAUAAGAUCUAAUCUUUUAAAACA